This 738-nucleotide long non-coding RNA is filed under the name Gallus gallus (chicken). Lineage: Eukaryota; Metazoa; Chordata; Aves; Galliformes; Phasianidae. The record is from RNAcentral.
CUCAAACCCAACGCCUUUCCCGGGAAGCACAACGGGAGUGAAGGAAACACAGACGGUCCCGACGGAAUCGUGGGAUCGCGGAGGUUGGAAAAGACCACUGAGGUCAUCCAGGCUGACCGUUCUGCUCCGGGUGCUGCUGGAGUUUCCAUUGGUUCGGCAGCACGAAGCCGCGUGUAAAGGGGAAACGCACUGCCAGAUAGAGUGUAAGAGCUGCCACACGGCUCCCAUUUCUCCCAGCUAUUUGGCUCUGCGUGGAUCUUCAGCCUCUGCACUACUUGUGAUGCUGGCAUUGUCACGAAGGGGAGGAACCCGUGGUGGAUGAGAGGGUUCUCUUCACCCUACAACACCCUACAAGAGGGGCACCCCAACUUGCUGGGUCUCCAUCCCACCUCUGCGGGGAUCGCCCCAAUUUCUGCCUCCCUGCAGCAGAUUUUCUGCACAAAAAUAGGAACUCGGUCCUACAGUGCCAUCUCGUGACACACACAUGUAGGAGAGUCUUCCUACACCAUUCCUGGGGAUAACUGUGCGCUAUGGGAUGGCGUUACAGUCAAAGGUGGAGGAAAUCUGCAUGCAAUUUGGGCAGCAGUGCAAAAUGCUGCACGAGGGCAGCAAUUGGCAGUGAUUUCCACCCACUGCAGAGACACGGGGAGAGGAGAGGAGAUCCUAACCCAAAGGGAAACCUUCCACAACCCCAACCCAAAGGGAAAACCUUCUGCUCUCCCAACCCAAAGGGAAACC